CUACGGGCGGCUGCAGUGGGGAAUAUUGCACAAUGGGCGCAAGCCUGAUGCAGCAACGCCGCGUGAGGGAUGAAGGCCUUCGGGUUGUAAACCUCUUUUAGCAGGGAAGAGGCGAAAGUGACGGUACCUGCAGAAAAAGCACCGGCUAACUACGUGCCAGCAGCCGCGGUAAUACGUAGGGUGCAAGCGUUGUCCGGAAUUAUUGGGCGUAAAGAGUUCGUAGGCGGUUUGUCACGUCUGCUGUGAAAAUCCAAGGCUCAACCUUGGACUUGCAGUGGGUACGGGCAGGCUAGAGUGCGGUAGGGGAGAUGGGAAUUCCUGGUGUAGCGGUGGAAUGCGCAGAUAUCAGGAGGAACACCAAUGGCGAAGGCACAUCUCUGGGCCGUAACUGACGCUGAGGAGCGAAAGCGUGGGGAGCGAACAGGAUUAGAUACCCUUGUAGUC
This 444-nucleotide ribosomal RNA is filed under the name uncultured bacterium. RNAcentral's name for it is "partial 16S ribosomal RNA". It matches the Rfam family "Bacterial small subunit ribosomal RNA", at positions 339 to 795 of the family's 1533-position model. The record is from RNAcentral.